Molecule: ribosomal RNA, 468 nt
Filed under: uncultured bacterium
Lineage: Bacteria
Description: partial 16S ribosomal RNA
Rfam family: Bacterial small subunit ribosomal RNA
Source: RNAcentral
GACGAACGCUGGCGGCGUGCUUAACACAUGCAAGUCGAACGGGAAGGCCCUGCUUUUGUGGGGUGCUCGAGUGGCGAACGGGUGAGUAACACGUGAGUAACCUGCCCUUGACUUUGGGAUAACUUCAGGAAACUGGGGCUAAUACCGGAUAGGAGCUCCUGCUGCAUGGUGGGGGUUGGAAAGUUUCGGCGGUUGGGGAUGGACUCGCGGCUUAUCAGCUUGUUGGUGGGGUAGUGGCUUACCAAGGCUUUGACGGGUAGCCGGCCUGAGAGGGUGACCGGCCACAUUGGGACUGAGAUACGGCCCAGACUCCUACGGGAGGCAGCAGUGGGGAAUAUUGCACAAUGGGCGGAAGCCUGAUGCAGCAACGCCGCGUGCGGGAUGACGGCCUUCGGGUUGUAAACCGCUUUCGCCUGUGACGAAGCGUGAGUGACGGUAACGGGUAAAGAAGCACCGGCUAACUACGUG